RNA transcript from Rosa rugosa (rugosa rose), 1372 nucleotides. It is a transcript of the gene named probable esterase KAI2, with no coding region annotated. The transcript is spliced from 3 exons. Lineage: Eukaryota; Viridiplantae; Streptophyta; Magnoliopsida; Rosales; Rosaceae. The record is from RefSeq and is a predicted model, not a curated record.
CUCCCCAGUCCCCACUGAUAUUAUCACCAGCUCCAGGCAUUCUUUAUAUGCGGUGCCAGUUAGUCCCCGUCGACCCAAAACCCUGCAAAACCAACAAACCAUAUCACCCAUCAUAUCAAAGAGAACAUGGGAAUAGUGGCGGAAGCUCACAACGUUCGUGUUCUCGGGUCGGGUCAGCAGGUCAUAGUCCUCGCCCACGGGUUCGGAACCGACCAGUCCGUCUGGAAGCACCUUGUCCCCCACCUGGUCGACGACUACCGAGUCGUCAUGUACGACAACAUGGGCGCCGGAACCACCAACCCCGAGUACUUUGAUUUCGAGCGCUACUCCACGCUCGAGGGCUACGCGUACGACUUACUCGCCAUCCUCGAGGAGUUUCAGGUCGAGAGUUGCAUCUUUGUGGGUCACUCUGUUUCCGCCAUGAUUGGCACCAUCGCCGCCGUCAUGAGGCCGGAGCUUUUCUUUAAGCUCGUUAUGAUCGCCGCCUCUCCAAGGUAUCUGAACGACACGGACUACUACGGAGGCUUCGAGGAAGAAGACCUACAUCAACUCUUCGAAGCCAUCCGCUCAAACUACAAGGCCUGGUGCGCCGGCUUUGCCCCGCUCGCCGUGGGUGGCGACAUGGACUCGGUCGCCGUCCAAGAGUUUAGCCGGACCCUAUUCAACAUGCGGCCCGACAUAGCCCUCAGCGUGGCCCAGACCAUUUUCCAAAGCGACACGAGACAGAUCAUGGGCAUGGUCACGGUGCCUUGCCACAUACUCCAGAGUGUUAAGGACUUGGCGGUGCCGGUGGUGGUAUCGGAGUACCUGCACCAGAAUUUGGGGGGUGUGUCGAUCGUGGAGGUGAUGUCAUCGGACGGGCAUCUCCCUCAGCUGAGCUCGCCGGAUAUUGUGAUUCCCGUGCUGCUCCGGCACAUUACACAUGAUAUUGCGACGCGAUGAAGUUUAAGUUGAUUGUUAGGUGUUCUUGUGUGUAAUUAGGAGGGUGGUAAUUAGGCGCUUGGCGGAUAAUUGAUUUUCGUUUUGCAUGUGGUAAUGGUUCAGGUCCCUAUGUUGGAUGUCGUGUUCAAAGUGAAUUGACUCUCCACGGACAACGUCAUAUGAAGGUGGGAAGAUUUGAAUUUGGCUCAUGAACGGGUGGUAAUAAUGUAUUUUCAGUUGUGAUAUUAUAAAAAUGAUAAUCAAGGUGUAUUGGAUGCUUUCGUAUCUUAAGUUUACCAUUUAUCAAAAUAGUAUUUGCGUCUGGGAUUAGUCCGGAUAGUGAAGAGUGAGAAUUGUAUUAGAAAUAAGUCAAGUGGAGGUUUCAUUUUCCCUUCAAUGUAACAAAAAAGAUUUCAAUUAUGUGAUGUGUCGAUGGUGAAUUCGAUCUUGA